Molecule: unclassified non-coding RNA, 222 nt
Filed under: Hevea brasiliensis (rubber tree)
Lineage: Eukaryota; Viridiplantae; Streptophyta; Magnoliopsida; Malpighiales; Euphorbiaceae
Source: RNAcentral
UAUGAAAACCAUACACACGGAUUCAGUUGCGGAAGAUCUGCCUCACGAAAACCAAAAUAAAGAAGAUCCAUGGCUCAAAAUGCAGGAUGAAGCCAGGUUAGAUGCUGAUCAAGAACCAGUUCUAUCCAGCUACUACUAUACCUCCAUUCUGUCUCAGAAGACUCUAGAAAGGGCGUUGGCGAAUCAUCUUGCAAUUAAGUUAAGCAAUUCCAGCCUUCCUAG